RNAcentral lists this unclassified non-coding RNA (209 nucleotides) under uncultured Agaricomycetes. RNAcentral's name for it is "sequence contains ITS2". RNAcentral also lists the same sequence under 1 other name. The record is from RNAcentral. Lineage: Eukaryota; Fungi; Basidiomycota; Agaricomycetes.
AAUUCUCAACUUCAAAAUUUCUUGUUUUGAAGCUUGGAUGUUGGAGGGCUUUGCAGGCAUAUAGUAAUGUCAGCUCCUCUUAAAUGCAUUAGCAGAACUUGUACGUUCGGCUCUGGUUUGAUAAUCCUAUCUAUGCCAUCGCUGAAAGGUCAUUGUUCAGCUUCUAAUGGUCCACUUAUUGGACUGUCUCUUUGGAGGCAUAUCUUUUG